Molecule: non-coding RNA, 536 nt
Organism: Paramuricea clavata
Lineage: Eukaryota; Metazoa; Cnidaria; Anthozoa; Malacalcyonacea; Plexauridae
Source: the annotation of a GenBank genome assembly
AGACAUUAGCCAUGUCAUAACAAUUGUAAUGUUACUGUAAUAUAUGUAUACUGUCGCAAGCCAGAUAUAUAGUUUGUGCAAUUACGUUGGCAACGUUGCAUGUUAUUGUGAUCUGCCAAUUAGGAAUAAUCGGCUUUAUAGCUGCGCGAACUUGCCCGAACGCAGAACGCUGCAUUCUUAAUGAUUUGCAGAGACGCAUUUUAUGGUAAUUUUGGCGCGGAAGUCCACAUGGCGUUUAUGGUAGUUGUAUACAAUAUAACAAUAUACAUAGUUCUUUAAUAUUUUUGCACAAGUGAAUAUGACAAAUCCUACAAGUUCAUUGAUUAAAUUUGACGUAUUAAGCUGUUAUAUUCACCUAUAGGUGAAUAUAACAAAAUCGAAAUUUGCAAAAUGGCGGCUAGCCGUUUUGUGAAAGUUACUGAUAAAGAAAUAAGCGAAAUUAAAAUAAACACAGUCGCAAAAAACACAAAAGACUUGUGUAAAAAUACUAAAUCAAUUAUCGGUGAAUAUUCCCCGAUAAUCACCUCGCCUUCGGC